RNAcentral lists this ribosomal RNA (190 nucleotides) under uncultured bacterium. Its description in RNAcentral is "partial 16S ribosomal RNA". It matches the Rfam family "Bacterial small subunit ribosomal RNA", at positions 1311 to 1500 of the family's 1533-position model. The record is from RNAcentral.
CUCGCCUAUAUGAAGUCGGAAUUGCUAGUAAUCGCAGAUCAGCAUGCUGCGGUGAAUACGUUCCCGGGCCUUGUACACACCGCCCGUCACACCAUGAGAGUCGAUAACACCCGAAGCCUGUAGUCUAACCAUAAGGGGGACGCAGUCGAAGGUGGGAUUGAUAAUUAGGGUGAAGUCGUAACAAGGUAUC